Molecule: ribosomal RNA, 497 nt
Filed under: uncultured bacterium
Lineage: Bacteria
Description: partial 16S ribosomal RNA
Rfam family: Bacterial small subunit ribosomal RNA
Source: RNAcentral
GAUGAACGCUGGCGGCGUGCCUAAUACAUGCAAGUCGAGCGAACAGAUGAGGAGCUUGCUCCUCUGACGUUAGCGGCGGACGGGUGAGUAACACGUGGAUAACCUACCUAUAAGACUGGGAUAACUUCGGGAAACCGGAGCUAAUACCGGAUAAUAUAUUGAACCGCAUGGUUCAAUAGUGAAAGACGGUUUUGCUGUCACUUAUAGAUGGAUCCGCGCCGCAUUAGCUAGUUGGUAAGGUAACGGCUUACCAAGGCAACGAUGCGUAGCCGACCUGAGAGGGUGAUCGGCCACACUGGAACUGAGACACGGUCCAGACUCCUACGGGAGGCAGCAGUAGGGAAUCUUCCGCAAAGGGCGAAAGCCUGACGGAGCAACGCCGCGUGAGUGAUGAAGGUCUACGGAUCGUAAAACUCUGUUAUUAGGGAAGAACAAAUGUGUAAGUAACUAUGCACGUCUUGACGGUACCUAAUCAGAAAGCCACGGCUAACUACGUG